Molecule: small nuclear RNA, 106 nt
Organism: Nycticebus coucang (slow loris)
Lineage: Eukaryota; Metazoa; Chordata; Mammalia; Primates; Lorisidae
Source: RefSeq, a predicted model, not a curated record
GUGCUCACCUCAGCAGCACAUAUAUUAAAAUUGGAACAAUACAGAGAAGAUUAGCAUACCCUUGUGCAAGGAUGACAUGCAAAUUUGUGAAGAAUUUGUACAUAAA